GAAACUUGUUUCACCUAACUUAGCGGCGGACGGGUGAGUAACACGUAGGUAACCUGCCCAUAAUACUGGGAUAACUACCGGAAACGGUAGCUAAUACCGGAUAGGUUCUUCUCUCGCAUGGGAGGGGAAAGAAAGACGGAGCAAUCUGUCACUUAUGGAUGGACCUGCGGCGCAUUAGCUAUUUGGGGAGGUAACGGCUCACCCAGGCGACAAUGCGUAGCCGACCUGAGAGGGUGAUCGGCCACACUGGGACUGAGACACGGCCCAGACUCCUACGGGGGGGAGCAGUGGGGAAUCUUCCGCAAUGUGCGAAAGCCUGACGGAGCAACGCCGCGUGAGUGAUGAAGGUUUUCGGAUCUUAAAGCUCUGUUGCCAGGGAAGAACGUCUCUUAGAGUAACUGCUAAAAGAGUGACAGUACCUGAGAAAAAAGCCCCGGCUAACUACGUGCCACCAGCCGCGGUAAUACAUAGGGGGCAAGCGUUGUCCGGAAUUAUUGUGCGUAAAGCGCGCGCAGGCGGUCAUUUAAGUUGGGGGUUUAACCCCAGGGGUCAACCCUGGGUCGCACCCAAAACUGUAUGACUUGAGUGCGUAAAAGAAGAGUG
This 603-nucleotide ribosomal RNA is filed under the name Paenibacillus provencensis. RNAcentral describes it as "bacterial SSU rRNA". It matches the Rfam family "Bacterial small subunit ribosomal RNA", at positions 75 to 663 of the family's 1533-position model. Lineage: Bacteria; Bacillati; Bacillota; Bacilli; Caryophanales; Paenibacillaceae. The record is from RNAcentral.